Molecule: ribosomal RNA, 326 nt
Filed under: uncultured bacterium
Lineage: Bacteria
Description: bacterial SSU rRNA
Rfam family: Bacterial small subunit ribosomal RNA
Source: RNAcentral
GAUGAACGCUGGCGGCGUGCCUAACACAUGCAAGUCGAACGAAGCAUUUAAACCUGAUUAUUUCGGUAAGAAAGUUUAUCUGACUGAGUGGCGGACGGGUGAGUAACGCGUGGGCAACCUGCCUUACACAGGGGGACAACAGCCGGAAACGGCUGCUAAUACCGCAUAAGCGCACAGUUUCGCAUGGGACAGUGUGAAAAACUCCGGUGGUGUAAGAUGGGCCCGCGUCUGAUUAGCUUGUUGGCGGGGUAACGGCCCACCAAGGCGACGAUCAGUAGCCGACCUGAGAGGGUGACCGGCCACAUUGGGACUGAGACACGGCCCAA